GCGGCCGUGGUGGAAAUUGGUAGACGCACCGCACUCAAAAAUGCGGCGCCUCCGUGGCGUGCCGGUUCAAUUCCGGCCGGCCGCACCA
Molecule: transfer RNA, 88 nt
Filed under: Mesorhizobium sp.
Lineage: Bacteria; Pseudomonadati; Pseudomonadota; Alphaproteobacteria; Hyphomicrobiales; Phyllobacteriaceae
Description: tRNA-Leu
Rfam family: tRNA
About the family: Transfer RNA (tRNA) molecules are approximately 80 nucleotides in length. Their secondary structure includes four short double-helical elements and three loops (D, anti-codon, and T loops).
Source: RNAcentral